GGGACGAGACCCUCCUCCCUGAUUUGAUCUAUCCAACAGCGGCAGAAUGCCUCAAGUGCGGAAUGACAAGGGAUCGACCAAAAGAGGAAGAGAAGAAAGCUGUGCGUUGGAGCUCUCUCUCUGUCCUACAGCAGUGCCUCAAGUACGGCAGAAUGCCACAACCAAGGGAUCGACCAAAAAAAGAGGAAGAGAAGAAAGCUCUCUCUGUGAAGCUCUCUCUCUCUGUCCUCAAGAAAAACCUCCUAGCUCUCUCAGCCUCAGCAACAGCAGUUUCUGUCGGUGUUUGGACCUCUUACAAGAGGGUGGUCCGGGGAUGCGCAUCCGCACGUCCGCGUUCCACUCUUUUGGAUAAUCCGGUGCUGUGACGGAUUGCAAACCACGCGAGGAUCCCUCGCUCUGCAGUCCUUUCCCAGCACUGAUCGGUAUCAAUGGGAGCGACCCUGUGCCUCGUGUAUUGGGCCGACAGAGGUGAAAUUCUCAGAUCGAUGUGGGACAAGCGGAAGCGAAGGCGCUCUGCUGGACCGCAUCCGCCAAUCAAGAACGAGAGUGUGGGGAUCGAAGAUGAUCAGAUACCGUCGUAGUCCACUGUACCAUAAACCGUGCCUGCGCGGUCUCGAUGAAGGUGUUCCCAGUCAGAUGCCUCUCCCCGUGCCCUCGUGGUACGGGGGGAGGACCCCGUCUCUGGGAAGCAACUUCGUCGGUACCAUUCCUCCAAUCAACGAGAAAUCCAGAGCCUCUGGGUUCAGGGGGGAGUACCGCUGCAAAGCUGAAACUUAAAGGAAUUGACGGAAUGACACCACAAGACGUGGAGUAUGCGGCUUAAUUUGACUCAACACGGGAAACGUUACCAGGUCAGGACAUACAAGGANUGACAGAUGCGAGCUCUUUCUUGAUAUAUUGAACGGUGGCGCACGUCCGUUCCUGGUCGGUGGAGUGAUUUGUAUGGUUGAUUACCGAUACCGAGCGAGAUCUCUGCCUCACAAUAGUCGCCGGCCUCGCCCGGUGCGGGUCCUCCUCCCUUCCCAUGCGUCGGGAGGCUGUGUCCCCACCACUCUGUAGGGGGAUCGGGCCAGGAGAUAUUGGGGGUUCGCGCCUCCAUUCCCUCCUGGUCCAACCCCCGAGAGCGCCGGUUCUCUCUGCCCGCAAGCAAGCAACAAAAGAAGAACCCCCGAGCGACGGAUCUAUGGGGUGAGAACGGGUUUUUCUACCCGCUCUCACACCACCGUCAAUCAAAAAGCGGUUCCUCUCUUUUGUGUGAGCGCGCGCGCGGGCAGAGGGUCUCCACUCUCACAAACGACGAGUGGUACGUGCUUCUUUGCGGGGCCGCACACGGUUACUAGCCCCCCCUAAGUAUGCGCAUGCCCGAGCCAACAGCAGGUCUGUGAUGCCCCUAAAUGUUCUGGGCCGCACGCGCCCUACAAUGUUAUGGUGAACAAGCUCGAAUCUCCCGUGCGCCCGCUCGUCUCUCCAAACUUGUUUGGAAACGGGCGGGACGCGGGCAGAUCCUACCUCGAAACGAGGGACCGCCGCCCUCAGUGACAGCCAGGAAAUCUUGUGGAAUCCACAACGUGACUGGGAUAGAUGAUUGCAACUAUUUGCCUUGCAACGAGGAAUGCCUAGUAGGCGCACGUCAACAGCGUGCACCGACUCGGUCCCUGCCAUUUGUACACACCGCCCGUCGUUGCUACCGAUGGUGUGAGAACAGAGACCUCAGGAACCGAGCGCACCCACACGCGCUUUCUCUGCUGCCGCACUGUCCACUUGCGAGAGUGGACGUGUGGGAGAGAGAUUUGCGCGCACGUGUGGUGCGUUCGGUGAAUUUGGUCAAUGUGUUUG
Molecule: ribosomal RNA, 1836 nt
Filed under: Jenningsia fusiforme
Lineage: Eukaryota; Euglenozoa; Peranemea; Peranemida; Peranemidae
Description: partial small subunit ribosomal RNA
Rfam family: Eukaryotic small subunit ribosomal RNA
Source: RNAcentral